Molecule: long non-coding RNA, 580 nt
Organism: Mesocricetus auratus (golden hamster)
Lineage: Eukaryota; Metazoa; Chordata; Mammalia; Rodentia; Cricetidae
Exons: 3
Source: RefSeq, a predicted model, not a curated record
UGUUUGAAUUUGUUGCUGAUUUUCUUCCAUCAAGUUACCAGUUAAGGAAAAAAGCUUGUUUCUUCAUGUCAGUUGAAAGUGAUGAAACCCAGGAUUGAGGACAGCAUUCAGUGGCAAUACUGCUUUUCCUGCAAGUGUGAGGACCUGGUAUUCCAACCCUGAGGACCUCCUCAAAAUCUAAAAAGAUGCCCCAUGGAAAAACAACGGCAUAAACACACGUGCAUUUGACAAGCCAAGGUGUGUGGAGGAAGCACACACAGAGAUCUCAACAAUAAUUUAGCAGGGCUAGAGAGACGCCGUCGUGGAUAAGAGUGCAUGCACCUCGUACGGAGAACCCAAUUCGGUUUCCAGCAACUAUGUCAUCUACAGCUUCAUCUCCAGAAGACCAAAGCCUCUGUGUUCUGAAGGACACGCAGACAUACCAACACACUGAAACACCAACAUGCAGGGGCUCUACAGGACUGGAAAUGACUGCAGCCCCUGUUUCUGUGAUCUUCAACUACUUUAAUCGAAAGUUAGCUUUCCUUGUUCGUGUGCAAAGGCAUUGCAUUUUACAAGUUAAUAAAAAGCUGCAGUGAGA